UGGAUCCUGCCGGAGGUCACUGUUAUCAAGGUUCGACUUAGCCAUGCGAGGCGCGAGCUAUUUGGGCUCGCCAUACUGCUCAGUAACACGUAGCUAACCUACUCUUAGCUGGAGGAUAAUCAUGCGAAAGUGUGGCUAAUACUCCAUAGCUGUUGAGUGCUGGAAUGCUUCAAUAGCAAAAGCUACGGCGGCUAAGAAUGGGGCUGCGACCUAUCAUGGCUGUUGUGAGUGUAAAGUACUCACAAACCUGUAACGGGUACGGGCCAUGAGAGUGGAAGCCUGGAGAUGCCUUCUGAGACAUGAAGGCAGGUCCUACGGGACGCAGCAGGCGCGAAAACUUUCCAAUUCCUGCAAGGGUGAGAAGGGAACCUUGAGUGACUAUGCUUUGCAUAGCCUUUUAUUUUGCUUAAAAAGCAAGAUGAAUAAGUGGUGGGUAAGACGGGUGGCAGCCGCCGCGGUAAUACCCGCGCCACGAAUGGUGAUCACGAUUAUUGGGUCUAAAGCGUUCGUAGCCGGUUUGGCAAGUUCUUGGUGAAAUCUGCUAGCAAACUAGCAGGCUUGCUGAGAAUACUACCAGACUUGGGAUCGGGAUAGGAUGAAGGUGUUCCACGUGUAGGGGUUAAAUCCUUUAAUCCGUGGAAAACCUCCGGUGGCGAAGGCGUUCAUCUGGAACGAGUCCGACGGUGAGGGACGAAAGCGUGGGGAGCAAAUCUAAUCCUUUGAUAAAAGGAUGAGAGCUUAAACGGGAUUAGAUACCCCGGUAGUCCAUGCUGUAAACGAUGCCCGCUUGAUGUUGCAAACUCUACGGGAGUUUGCAGUGUCGGAGCGUAGGUGUUAAGCGGGCCACCUGGGGAGUACGGCCGCAAGGUUGAAACUUAAGGGAAUUGGCGGGAGAGCACACAAGGGGUGGAGGCUGCGGUUUAAUUGGAUUCAACGCCGG
This 940-nucleotide ribosomal RNA is filed under the name uncultured archaeon. Its description in RNAcentral is "bacterial SSU rRNA". It matches the Rfam family "Archaeal small subunit ribosomal RNA", at positions 8 to 921 of the family's 1478-position model. The record is from RNAcentral.